GAUGAACGCUGGCGGCGUGCCUAAUACAUGCAAGUCGAGCGAACAGACGAGGAGCUUGCUCCUUCGACGUUAGCGGCGGACGGGUGAGUAACACGUAGGUAACCUACCUAUAAGACUGGGAUAACUUCGGGAAACCGGAGCUAAUACCGGAUAAUAUUUCGAACAGCAUGGUUCGAUAGUGAAAGAUGGCUUUGCUAUCACUUAUAGAUGGACCUGCGCCGUAUUAGCUAGUUGGUAAGGUAACGGCUUACCAAGGCAACGAUACGUAGCCGACCUGAGAGGGUGAUCGGCCACACUGGAACUGAGACACGGUCCAGACUCCUACGGGAGGCAGCAGUAGGGAAUCUUCCGCAAUGGGCGAAAGCCUGACGGAGCAACGCCGCGUGAGUGAUGAAGGUCUUCGGAUCGUAAAACUCUGUUAUUAGGGAAGAACAAACGUGUAAGUAACUGUGCACGUCUUGACGGUACCUAAUCAGAAAGCCACGGCUAACUACGUG
This 497-nucleotide ribosomal RNA is filed under the name uncultured bacterium. Its description in RNAcentral is "partial 16S ribosomal RNA". It matches the Rfam family "Bacterial small subunit ribosomal RNA", at positions 28 to 507 of the family's 1533-position model. The record is from RNAcentral.